CCUACGGGAGGCAGCAGUAGGGAAUAUUGCUCAAUGGGGGAAACCCUGAAGCAACAACGCCGCGUGGAGGAUGAAGGUUCUCGGAUUGUAAACUCCUUUUGUUAGAGAAGAUAAUGACGGUAUCUAACGAAUAAGCACCGGCUAACUCCGUGCCAGCAGCCGCGGUAAUACGGAGGGUGCAAGCGUUACUCGGAAUCACUGGGCGUAAAGCGCGCGUAGGCGGGAUAGCAAGUCAGAUGUGAAAUCCUAUGGCUUAACCAUAGAACUGCAUUUGAGACUGUUAUUCUAGAGUAUGGGAGAGGUAGGUGGAAUGCUUGGUGUAGGGGUAAAAUCCGUAGAGAUCAAGAAGAAUACUCAUUGCGAAGGCGACCUGCUAGAACAUAACUGACGCUGAUGCGCGAAAGCGUGGGGAGCAAACAGGAUUAGAUACCCUAGUAGUC
Molecule: ribosomal RNA, 440 nt
Filed under: uncultured bacterium
Lineage: Bacteria
Description: partial 16S ribosomal RNA
Rfam family: Bacterial small subunit ribosomal RNA
Source: RNAcentral